RNAcentral lists this ribosomal RNA (1244 nucleotides) under metagenome. RNAcentral's name for it is "bacterial LSU rRNA". It matches the Rfam family "Bacterial large subunit ribosomal RNA", at positions 1564 to 2817 of the family's 2925-position model. The record is from RNAcentral.
UGAAUACGAGAUGCUACGGCGUCGAAGCAGUCUAUGUCAUACUUCCAAGAAAAGCUUGCACUGUCAUAAACAAAUAAUGCCUGUACCAUAACCGACACAGGUGGGUAGGUAGAGUAUACUAAGGGGCGCGAGAUAACUCUCUCUAAGGAACUCGGCAAAAUGACUCCGUAACUUCGGGAGAAGGAGUGCCUUAUUUAUAAGGUUGCAAUAACAAGAUCCAAGCAACUGUUUACCAAAAACACAGGUCUCCGCUAAGUCGUAAGACGAUGUAUGGGGGCUGACGCCUGCCCAGUGCCAGAAGGUUAAAGAAGUUGGUUAGCAUCCGCGAAGCUGAUAACUGAAGCCCUGGUGAACGGCGGCCGUAACGAUAACGGUCCUAAGGUAGCGAAAUUCCUUGUCGGGUAAGUUCCGACCCGCACGAAAGGCGUAAUGAUUUGGAUACUGUCUCGGAGAGGGGCUCGGUGAAAUAGACUUGUCUGUGAAGAUGCGGACUACCUGCACCAGGACAGAAAGACCCUAUGAAGCUUUACUGUAACCUGAAAUUGAAAUUGGACUUUACUUGCGCAGUAUAGGUGGGAGGCGUUGAGAAUAUUCUUGCGGGAUUAUUGGAGCCAUCAGUGAGAUACCACUCUUGUAAUGUUAGAUUUCUAACUUUGUAUCAUUAUCUGGUCAAAGAACAGUUUCAGGCGGGCAGUUUGACUGGGGCGGUCGCCUCCUAAACGGUAACGGAGGCGCACAAAGGUUUCCUCUGAACGGGUAGAAAUCGUAUCUAGAGUGUAAAGGCAUAAGGAAGCUUGACUGUGAGACCUACAAGUCGAGCAGGGACGAAAGUCGGUCUUAGUGAUCUGACGGUGCUGAGUGGAAAGGCCGUCACUCAACGGAUAAAAGUUACUCUAAGGAUAACAGGCUGAUCUCCCCCAAGAGUUCACAUCGACGGGGAGGUUUGGCACCUCGAUGUCGGCUCAUCGCAUCCUGGGGCGGUAGUACGUCCCAAGGGUUGGGCUGUUCGCCCAUGAAAGCGGUACGCGAGCUGGGUUCAGAACGUCGUGAGACAGUUCGGUCCAUAUCCGGUGUAGGCGUUAGAAUAUUGAGAGGAGCCUUCUUUAGUACGAGAGGACCGAGAAGGACAUACCUCUGGUGUACCAGUUAUCGUGCCAACGGUAAACGCUGGGUAGCUAUGUGUGGAGUGGAUAACCGCUGAAAGCAUCUAAGUGGGAAGCCCACCUCAAGAUAAGUAUUCUCAU